AACGAACGCUGGCGGCAUGCCUAACACAUGCAAGUCGAACGAGACCUUCGGGUCUAGUGGCGCACGGGUGCGUAACGCGUGGGAACCUGCCCUUAGGUUCGGAAUAACUCCCCGAAGGGGGUGCUAAUACCGGAUAAUGUCUUCGGACCAAAGAUUUAUCGCCUUUGGAUGGGCCCGCGUUGGAUUAGCUAGUUGGUAGGGUAAAAGCCUGCCAAGGCGACGAUCCAUAGCUGGUCUGAGAGGAUGAUCAGCCACACUGGGACUGAGACACGGCCCAGACUCCUACGGGAGGGAGCAGUGGGGAAUAUUGGACAAGGGGCGAAAGCCUGAUCCAGCAAUGCCGCGUGAGUGAUGAAGGCCUUAGGGUUGUAAAGCUCUUUUACCCGGGAUGAUAAUGACAGUACCGGGAGAAUAAGCUCCGGCUAACUCCGUG
This 433-nucleotide ribosomal RNA is filed under the name uncultured bacterium. Its description in RNAcentral is "partial 16S ribosomal RNA". It matches the Rfam family "Bacterial small subunit ribosomal RNA", at positions 29 to 507 of the family's 1533-position model. The record is from RNAcentral.